GGGAGGUAGUGACAAUAAAUAACAAUACAGGGUCCUUUCGGGUCUUGUAAUUGGAAUGAGUACAAUUUAAAUCUCUUAACGAGGAACAAUUGGAGGGCAAGUCUGGUGCCAGCAGCCGCGGUAAUUCCAGCUCCAAUAGCGUAUAUUAAAGUUGUUGCAGUUAAAAAGCUCGUAGUUGAAUUUCGGGGUCAAUGCGUCGGUCGUGCCUUCGGUACGUACUGAUGUUAUUGAUUCCUCCCUUCUGACGAACCGUGAUGUCAUUAAUUUGGUGUUACGGGGAAUCAGGACUGUUACCUUGAAAAAUUAGAGUGUUUAAAGCAGGCUAACGCUUGAAUACAUUAGCAUGGAAUAAUGAAAUAGGACGUUCGAACCUAUUUUGUUGGUUUCUAGGAUCAACGUAAUGAUUAAUAGGGAUAGUUGGG
RNAcentral lists this ribosomal RNA (422 nucleotides) under uncultured Glomeraceae. Its description in RNAcentral is "SSU rRNA". It matches the Rfam family "Eukaryotic small subunit ribosomal RNA", at positions 459 to 886 of the family's 1831-position model. The record is from RNAcentral. Lineage: Eukaryota; Fungi; Glomeromycota; Glomeromycetes; Glomerales; Glomeraceae.